UACGUAGGGUGCAAGCGUUAAUCGGAAUUACUGGGCGUAAAGCGUGCGCAGGCGGUUUUGUAAGUCUGAUGUGAAAUCCCCGGGCUCAACCUGGGAAUUGCAUUGGAGACUGCAAGGCUAGAAUCUGGCAGAGGGGGGUAGAAUUCCACGUGUAGCAGUGAAAUGCGUAGAGAUGUGGAGGAACACCGAUGGCGAAGGCAGCCUUCUGGGCCAACACUGACGCUCAUGCACGAAAGCGUGGGGAGCAAACAGG
RNAcentral lists this ribosomal RNA (253 nucleotides) under uncultured bacterium. RNAcentral's name for it is "partial 16S ribosomal RNA". It matches the Rfam family "Bacterial small subunit ribosomal RNA", at positions 524 to 776 of the family's 1533-position model. The record is from RNAcentral.